UAAACGACUCUCGGCAACGGAUAUCUCGGCUCUCGCAUCGAUGAAGAACGUAGCGAAAUGCGAUACUUGGUGUGAAUUGCAGAAUCCCGUGAACCAUCGAGUCUUUGAACGCAAGUUGCGCCCGAAGCCGUCAGGCCGAGGGCACGUCUGCCUGGGCGUCACG
RNAcentral lists this ribosomal RNA (163 nucleotides) under Cephalanthus occidentalis. Its description in RNAcentral is "5.8S ribosomal RNA". It matches the Rfam family "5.8S ribosomal RNA". Rfam says of the family: 5.8S ribosomal RNA (5.8S rRNA) is a component of the large subunit of the eukaryotic ribosome. Lineage: Eukaryota; Viridiplantae; Streptophyta; Magnoliopsida; Gentianales; Rubiaceae. RNAcentral also lists the same sequence under 5 other names. The record is from RNAcentral.